GGGGAAUUUUGGACAAUGGGGGCAACCCUGAUCCAGCAACGCCGCGUGGGUGAAGAAGGCCUGCGGGUUGUAAAGCCCUUUCGGUGGGGAAGAAAAGCCUCGAGCUAACACCUCGGGGUCUUGACGUAACCCAUAGAAGAAGCACCGGCUAACUCUGUGCCAGCAGCCGCGGUAAUACAGAGGGCUCAAGCGUUGUUCGGAUUCAUUGGGCGUAAAGGGUGCGUAGGUGGCGGGGCAAGUCUGGUGUGAAAUCCCGGGGCUCAACCCCGGAACUGCACUGGAUACUGCUUUGCUAGAGCACUGGAGAGGGAACUGGAAUUUACGGUGUAGCAGUGAAAUGCGUAGAUAUCGUAAGGAAGACCAGUGGCGAAGGCGAGUUCCUGGACAGUUGCUGACACUGAGGCACGAAGGCUAGGGGAGCAAA
This 424-nucleotide ribosomal RNA is filed under the name uncultured bacterium. RNAcentral's name for it is "bacterial SSU rRNA". It matches the Rfam family "Bacterial small subunit ribosomal RNA", at positions 356 to 772 of the family's 1533-position model. The record is from RNAcentral.